CCGAUAGCGUAUAUUAAAGUUGCUGCAGUUAAAAAGCUCGUAGUUGAAUUUCGGGACCAUCAUGUCGGUCGUGCCUCGGUACGUACUGGUAUUGUUGGUUUCUCCCUUCUGACGAACCAUGAUGUCAUUUAUUUGGUGUUGUGGGGAAUCAGGACUGUUACUUUGAAAAAAUUAGAGUGUUUAAAGCAGGCUCACGCUUGAAUACAUUAGCAUGGAAUAAUGAAAUAGUACGUUUGAUUCUAUUUUGUUGGUUUCUAGGAUCGACGUAAUGAUUAAUAGGGAUAGUUGGGGGCAUUAGUAUUCAAUUGUCAGAGGUGAAAUUCUUGGAUUUAUUGAAGACUAACUACUGCGAAAGCAUUUGCCAAGGAUGUUUUCAUUAAUCAAGAACGAAAGUUAGGGGAUCGAAGACGAUCAGAUACCGUCGUAGUCUUAACCAUAAACUAUGCCGACUAGGGAUCGGAUGAUGUUAAUUUUUUAACGACUCAUUCGGCGCCUUACG
RNAcentral lists this ribosomal RNA (499 nucleotides) under uncultured Glomeromycotina. RNAcentral describes it as "partial small subunit ribosomal RNA". It matches the Rfam family "Eukaryotic small subunit ribosomal RNA", at positions 591 to 1092 of the family's 1831-position model. Lineage: Eukaryota; Fungi; Glomeromycota. The record is from RNAcentral.